UAGUAGUACGGAAUAAUUGUUGGAAACGGCAACUAAUACCGUAUACGCCCCACGGGGGAAAAAUUUAUUGCUAUUAGAUGAGCCUAUAUUAGAUUAGCUUGUUGGUAGGGUAAUAGCUUACCAAGGCAAUGAUCUAUAGCUGAUCUGAGAGGAUGAUCAGCCACACUGGAACUGAGAUACGGUCCAGACUCCUACGGGAGGCAGCAGUGGGGAAUAUUGGACAAUGGGCGAAAGCCUGAUCCAGCUAUGCCGCAUGAGUGAAGAAGGCCUUUGGGUUGUAAAGCUCUUUUAGUGAGGAAGAUAAUGACGGUACUCACAGAAGAAGUCCUGGCUAACUCCGUGCCAGCAGCCGCGGUAAUACGGAGAGGGCUAGCGUUAUUCGGAAUUAUUGGGCGUAAAGGGCGCGUAGGCUGACUAAUAAGUUAAAAGUGAAAUCCCGAGGCUUAACCUUGGAAUUGCUUUUAAAACUGUUAAUCUAGAGAUUGAAAGAGGAUAGAGGAAUUCCUAGUGUAGAGGUAAAAUUCGUAAAUAUUAGGAGGAACACCAGUGGCGAAGGCGUCUAUCUGGUUCAAAUCUGACGCUGAGGCGCGAAGGCGUGGGGAGCAAACAGGAUUAGAUACCCUGGUAGUCCACGCUGUAAAC
This 642-nucleotide ribosomal RNA is filed under the name Wolbachia endosymbiont of Armadillidium nasatum. RNAcentral's name for it is "bacterial SSU rRNA". It matches the Rfam family "Bacterial small subunit ribosomal RNA", at positions 131 to 807 of the family's 1533-position model. The record is from RNAcentral. Lineage: Bacteria; Pseudomonadati; Pseudomonadota; Alphaproteobacteria; Rickettsiales; Anaplasmataceae.